Molecule: small RNA, 1926 nt
Filed under: Pan troglodytes (chimpanzee)
Lineage: Eukaryota; Metazoa; Chordata; Mammalia; Primates; Hominidae
Description: retained intron
Source: RNAcentral
CCUUGGGCUGCCCACCUACCGCUACCACGUCCUGCUGGGGCUAGUCGUGUCCCUGGGCGGCUUGACGGAGUCGACGGUGAGGAGGCGUCGGGCUGGCUGGGGCAGGAGGUGGCUCCAGGAGUGCCUGGUGCUUCCCUGUCUCUUGGGAGUGUGUAUGGAGCUGGGCCUUUUCUUCCAUUGCUUUCUAUCUCUCUCGGGCAUAUUUGGUUAGGGGGUCAGGGGCCCAGUGUCUUCCUCAUGACCCAGGAGGCUUAGGGCCUGUGGGAUGGUUGAGUCUGAUGAAGGUGGGACAGGGCCAGCGCCACUCUCUUCCUGUGGCCGCAGCCCUGGAGCUCCCAGCGUCCCCUCGGGGUUCAACCCUCCAGGACCUGUGUCUGAUGCCUGCAUGUGGGUACCUGGGCUCCAUCAGGUUCUAGAUCGGCCUCCGCCGUCCACUUUCAGGGCUCCAGGCCCAGCUUCCCAUGUCUGUGGGGAGGGUCUCCAGAGCCUCAGUCUGUGGCUGAGCUGUGGAACUUGAAGGCCUCUCUGCAUCUUGUCACUCGUGGCCCCUGCACCUUGGGUCAUGACCUGCUUUAUGUGGCAACCCUGUGACAGCUGCUAAGUCCUAGAAAACACGUAACAGGACGUGAGGUGCCCUCUGCACCGUGCGGGCGCGUGCGGGGAGACCCGGGCCACAGGACGUGAGGUGCCUUCUGCGCCGUGCGGGCGCGUGCGGGGAGACCCGGGCCACAUGCGAGCGGGGCCCCGAGACAUUCUGCACUCGGGAAUUGCGGGGAUUAUCAAAUCCCGCUUCAGUGGGAAACGUGAGCGAAACCCAAGGUGAGUGGCCGCAGCCUUUCGUCACGUGCUCUCCCGCAUGUCCUAAGUGAGGGCUCAGGCUGAGCUGCCGUUGCCGAGAGCCUUGUGUCUGCUUCGGGUGUCUGCACUGUGAGUGGCUCUGUGCUGGCGUCCGCACCAGCCGCUUGGGGCCAGACCUUCGCGUCUCUGCAGCUCGGAGCAGUUCUGCUCUUCAGCAGAUGCUUGACCGGCUGUAGCCAAGCCUGAGGGGUGGCAGGCUCGGGGGUCCCACUGCCUUCUGAGGUGUCUCCGUGUUGCAGAUCCGGCACUCCACCCAGAGCCUCUUUGAGUACAUGAAGGGCAUUCAGAGCGACCCGCAGGCCCUGGGCAGCUUCAGCGGGACCCUUCUGCAGAUCUUUGAGGACAACCUUCUGAAUGAGAGGGUGUCCGUGCCGCUGCUGAAGACGCUGGACCAUGUGCUCACCCACGGCUGCUUCGACAUCUUCACCACGGAGGAGGACCACCCCUUUGCUGUGAAGUUGCUUGCGCUUUGUAAGAAAGAAAUCAAGAAUUCAAAAGAUAUCCAGAAGCUCCUGUCAGGCAUCGCAGUGUUCUGCGGGAUGGUGCAGUUCCCCGGCGACGUGAGGAGGCAGGCCCUCCUGCAGCUGUGUCUGCUCCUCUGCCACCGUUUCCCGCUGAUCCGGAAGACCACGGCCAGCCAGGUGUACGAGACAUUGCUCACCUACAGUGACGUCGUGGGCGCGGACGUGCUGGAUGAGGUGGUGACUGUGCUCAGUGACACCGCGUGGGACGCGGAGCUUGCAGUGGUGAGAGAGCAGCGCAACCGUCUGUGUGACCUUCUGGGCGUGCCCAGGCCCCAGCUGGUGCCCCAGCCUGGUGCCUGCUGAAGCCAGUCCUGGAGCCCAUACCUCACCCCUGCCUGGUGACGAUGUCUUGUUCCUGAGGGAGGCCGGUGUGGAAAGCCUCGCACAGUGGUGCCUCCAGCUGUUGAAGGGCAGCGCUGGCCCUUGGAGGCUGGCACUAGCUGACAGCUUUUCCUCUCUGCACCUGCGCUCUGGUGACUUGGGGUGGACGCCUCUGCCUUCACUUGAACACAAAUGUGCUUCCUAUAAAAUCAUGUACCAAGAA